RNAcentral lists this ribosomal RNA (253 nucleotides) under uncultured bacterium. Its description in RNAcentral is "partial 16S ribosomal RNA". It matches the Rfam family "Bacterial small subunit ribosomal RNA", at positions 524 to 777 of the family's 1533-position model. The record is from RNAcentral.
UACGGGGGGGCAAGCGUUGUUCGGAAUUACUGGGCGUAAAGGGCUCGUAGGCGGCCAACUAAGUCGGAUGUGAAAUCCCCAGGCUCAACCUGGGAACUGCAUCCGAUACUGGAUGGCUUGAAUUCGGGAGAGGGAUGCAGAAUUCCAGGUGUAGCGGUGAAAUGCGUAGAUAUCUGGAGGAAUACCGGUGGCGAAGGCGGCAUCCUGGACCGACAUUGACGCUGAGGAGCGAAAGCCAGGGGAGCAAACGGGG